This 50-nucleotide ribosomal RNA is filed under the name Clostridioides difficile. RNAcentral describes it as "partial 23S ribosomal RNA". The record is from RNAcentral. Lineage: Bacteria; Bacillati; Bacillota; Clostridia; Peptostreptococcales; Peptostreptococcaceae.
GCAGCAAUGUGAUUUAGCUUAUCGAUACUAAUAGGUCGAGGACUGACCAA